GUGGGGAAUUUUGGACAAUGGGCGAAAGCCUGAUCCAGCAAUGCCGCGUGUGUGAAGAAGGCCUUCGGGUUGUAAACUGCUUUUGUACGGAACGAAACGGUCCUGGUUAAUACCUGGGGCUAAUGACGGUACCGUAAGAAUAAGCACCGGCUAACUACGUGCCAGCAGCCGCGGUAAUACGUAGGGUGCGAGCGUUAAUCGGAAUUACUGGGCGUAAAGCGUGCGCAGGCGGUGCUGUAAGACAGGCGUGAAAUCCCCGGGGUCAACCUGGGAAUUGCGCUUGUGACUGCAGUGCUGGAGUACGGCAGAGGGGGAUGGAAUUCCGCGUGUAGCAGUGAAAUGCGUAGAUAUGCGGAGGAACACCGAUGGCGAAGGCAGUCCCCUGGGCCUGUACUGACGCUCAUGCACGAAAGCGUGGGGAGCAAACAGGAUUAGAAACCCCGGUAGUCC
RNAcentral lists this ribosomal RNA (450 nucleotides) under uncultured bacterium. RNAcentral describes it as "partial 16S ribosomal RNA". It matches the Rfam family "Bacterial small subunit ribosomal RNA", at positions 354 to 796 of the family's 1533-position model. The record is from RNAcentral.